AUUGAACGCUGGCGGCAGGCCUAACACAUGCAAGUCGAGCGGAUGAAGGGAGCUUGCUCCUGGAUUCAGCGGCGGACGGGUUAGUAAUGCCUAGGAAUCUGCCUGGUAGUGGGGGAUAACGUCCGGAAACGGGCGCUAAUACCGCAUACGUCCUGAGGGAGAAAGUGGGGGAUCUUCGGACCUCACGCUAUCAGAUGAGCCUAGGGCGGAUUAGCUAGUUGGUGAGGUAAAGGCCUACCAAGGCGACGAUCCGUAACUGGUCUGAGAGGAUGAUCAGUCACACUGGAACUGAGACACGGUCCAGACUCCUACGGGAGGCAGCAGUGGGGAAUAUUGGACAAUGGGCGAAAGCCUGAUCCAGCCAUGCCGCGUGUGUGAAGAAGGUCUUCGGAUUGUAAAGCACUUUAAGUUGGGAGGAAGGGCAGUAAGUUAAUACCUUGCUGUUUUGACGUUACCAACAGAAUAAGCACCGGCUAACUUCGUG
This 484-nucleotide ribosomal RNA is filed under the name uncultured bacterium. RNAcentral describes it as "partial 16S ribosomal RNA". It matches the Rfam family "Bacterial small subunit ribosomal RNA", at positions 30 to 507 of the family's 1533-position model. The record is from RNAcentral.